CAUUAUUGAAAUAAACCUGAUGGGUUGUUGCUGGUUCUCUAGGGAGCAUGUGCACACCUUGUCAUCUUUAUAUCUCCACCUGUGCACUUUUUGUAGACCUUUCGGGUCUAUGUUGCUUCAUUUACCCCAAUGUAUGUUAAUAGAAUGUUGUGCCUAUAUAAUAUAUACAACUUUCAGCAACGGAUCUCUUGGCUCUCGCAUCGAUGAAGAACGCAGCGAAAUGCGAUAAGUAAUGUGAAUUGCAGAAUUCAGUGAAUCAUCGAAUCUUUGAACGCACCUUGCGCUCCUUGGUAUUCCGAGGAGCAUGCCUGUUUGAGUGUCAUUAAUAUAUCAACCUUCUCUUUUUUGAGUUGUUUGGAUGUGGGGGUUUGCUGGCCUCUUAAAUGAUUCAGCUCCCCUGAAAUGCAUUAGCAGAACAACCUGUUCAUUGGCGUGAUAAUUAUCUAUGCUAUUGAAUGUGAGGGGCAGUUCAGCUUUCUAACCGUCCUCGGACAAUUCAUCAUUAAUGUGACCUCAAAUCAGGUAGGACUACCCGCUGAACUU
RNAcentral lists this ribosomal RNA (543 nucleotides) under uncultured fungus. Its description in RNAcentral is "eukaryotic LSU rRNA". The stretch from base 169 to 322 matches the Rfam family "5.8S ribosomal RNA". The record is from RNAcentral. Lineage: Eukaryota; Fungi.